RNAcentral lists this unclassified non-coding RNA (293 nucleotides) under Hevea brasiliensis (rubber tree). The record is from RNAcentral. Lineage: Eukaryota; Viridiplantae; Streptophyta; Magnoliopsida; Malpighiales; Euphorbiaceae.
GCCCAACAUGAGUUCGUGUAGGAUUCAGCUUUACUUGUGGUUUCCUGGAGUAUCUGAUGUAAUUGAGCAAUUGAGAGCCAACAUCAAAAUUAACUUCAAUACAUGGAAAGUCAAACGUUAAAUAGUUCAAAUCUCUGGUUGGGUUCUUCGCAACAAUCAAUCCCAAGCCUCCAACCUCCUGGACAACUUGUUGAGUAAAUGGCAAAUACAACUCAUCUCCUUUAACAAUGAAGCAAAGCACUACUUUUCCAGCCGCCCAUGUAUCAUUUGUAUUCAAGUUGUUGCAAAAGCGU